GGAAUAAAAGGAAGGAAAGUCGGUUUAUAGCGCCGAAUAUUCUCCGCCAAGGGCGAAUGAGGACGCGGCUUGAUUCUCGCGGCGACGCCGUUCGGAAGACGCGUUUACCCCGGGUCAACGAUCACCUUUGAGGAGAUGCGUCCCCACGAUUUACUCAAUCUGGGUGGGGGGUUCAUUUCAGACAGAUUAGACAGAGGGUUGGGCAGGAAUAAUACAGAAGCGAAGGCGAACCGUUUAUUUUAACCCAAAGGCCCCUCCGUUCGUUGGAACGGCGAUUUACUUCCGAGUAAAGAGCUCUUGGGAAUCUUCACUCCAAGGCAAAACUUAAUCCCGGGAGUUCAGAGGCCCACUCUGGAUGUGAUGUGCGAGGGAGAGCCUGUGAGCAGAGAAGCAACACCUGGCUGCGUUCACAAGAUACGCCAGCCCAGCUCACGCUAGCUAGCGGAUUGCUUUUUAGUCCCGGGUUCGAGUGCAAAUCCUGGAAACGGAGCGAAGCAAACGACCGCCGUAUCCCAGAGCCGUCGUUAGGAUUGAAAAGGGAGAAGAAAAAACGGGAAGAAGGCACCAUUCCAGAAAAAAAGGGGUUUUAAUUCGAAUAUAUAGGAAACCCAAGCGUCUCCUCCCUCCUUCCGUUCGUUAUUGAGAUGAUUUUUAAAUAAUAUGGAGGGGGGAAUAAUUCAAAACGCUAAUAGCGGAGCGGUUUGGGUGCGCUUUACUUAAAAGUAAGCGUGGCUGGGCGCCAACC
Long non-coding RNA from Ahaetulla prasina, 745 nucleotides. RefSeq lists it as uncharacterized. The transcript is spliced from 4 exons. The record is from RefSeq and is a predicted model, not a curated record. NCBI's taxonomy places the organism in Eukaryota, Metazoa, Chordata, Lepidosauria, Squamata, Colubridae.